CCUACGUGCGGCAGCAGUGGGGAAUAUUGGGCAAUGGGCGCAAGCCUGACCCAGCAACGCCGCGUGAAGGAAGAAGGCUCUCGGGUUGUAAACCUCUUUUUUCAGGGACGAAGCAAGUGACGGUACUUGAGGAAUAAGUCACGGCUAACUACGUGCCAGCAGCCGCGGUAAUACGUAGGUGGCAAGCGUUAUCCGGAUUUACUGGGUGUAAAGGGCGUGUAGGCGGGGACGCAAGUCAGAUGUGAAAACCACGGGCACAACCUGUGGCCUGCAUUUGAAACUGUGUUUCUUGAGUACGGGAGAGGCAGACGGAAUUCCUGGUGUAGCGGUGAAAUGCGUAGAUAUUAGGAGGAACACCAGUGGCGAAGGCAGUCUGCUGGACAGCAACUGACGCUGAGGCGCGAAAGCGUGGGGAGCAAACAGGAUUAGAUACCCGGGUAGUC
This 443-nucleotide ribosomal RNA is filed under the name uncultured bacterium. RNAcentral's name for it is "partial 16S ribosomal RNA". It matches the Rfam family "Bacterial small subunit ribosomal RNA", at positions 338 to 795 of the family's 1533-position model. The record is from RNAcentral.